This 253-nucleotide ribosomal RNA is filed under the name uncultured Caldilinea sp. Its description in RNAcentral is "partial 16S ribosomal RNA". It matches the Rfam family "Bacterial small subunit ribosomal RNA", at positions 524 to 776 of the family's 1533-position model. The record is from RNAcentral. Lineage: Bacteria; Bacillati; Chloroflexota; Caldilineae; Caldilineales; Caldilineaceae.
UACGUAGGUGACGAGCGUUAUCCGGAAUUACUGGGCGUAAAGCGCACGCAGGCGGCUGCUUAAGUCUGACGUAAAAUCUCCUGGCUUAACUGGGAGGGGUCGUUGGAGACUGGGUGGCUUGAGGCAACGAGAGGGGUGUAGAAUUCCCGGUGUAGUGGUGGAAUGCGUAGAUAUCGGGAGGAAUACCAGAGGCGAAAGCGACACCCUGGCGUUGAACUGACGCUCAUGUGCGAAAGCGUGGGGAGCGAACGGG